RNAcentral lists this long non-coding RNA (211 nucleotides) under Elaeis guineensis (African oil palm). RNAcentral describes it as "long non-coding RNA (EGUI_LNC048116)". The record is from RNAcentral. Lineage: Eukaryota; Viridiplantae; Streptophyta; Magnoliopsida; Arecales; Arecaceae.
AUCUUUCCUGAUGCAAUGGAACCACUGUACCCAACCAAAAACAAUCAACAGUGGAAAGGGCCUGCACAUCUACAAUGGUGGAAGAUUGCUAAUUUUAAUAUAUACAAAGAGAUUUAAUUUAGAUCUCUUUAAUUUUUAAUUAUUUAUUUACAUCCGAUGAAAAUUCAUAAUUAAUAAGGAUCUACUAGAGAGAUCCUAAUUUGGUUCACCA